GAUGAAGAACGUAGCGAAAUGCGAUACGUAAUGUGAAUUGCAGAAUUCAGUGAAUCAUCGAAUCUUUGAACGCAUAUUGCGCUCUCUGGUAUUCCGGAGAGCAUGCUUGUUUGAGUAUCAGUAAACACCUCAACUCCCUUUUCUUUUUUGAAAUUGGAGCUGGACUUGAGUGAUCCCAACGCUUUCUUCCAAGAAAGUGGCGGGUUGCUUGAAAUGCAGGUGCAGCUGAACUUUUAUCUGAGCUAUAAGAAUAUCUAUUUAGUCUGCCUAAAAAACAGAUUAUUACCUUUGCUGCAGCUAACAUAAAGGAGACUAGUUCUUGUGCUGACUGAUGCAGGAUUCACAGAGACAGCUUCGGCUGACUUUGUAAACUCGAUCUCAAAUCAAGUAAGACUACCCGCUGAACUUAAGCAUAUCAAUAAGCGGAGGA
This 430-nucleotide unclassified non-coding RNA is filed under the name soil metagenome. RNAcentral describes it as "partial contains 5.8S ribosomal RNA, internal transcribed spacer 2, and large subunit ribosomal RNA". The stretch from base 1 to 120 matches the Rfam family "5.8S ribosomal RNA", at positions 35 to 154 of the family's 154-position model. The record is from RNAcentral.